GCUUCUGUGACCUAGUGGUUAGAGCGUUUGCCUUGUAUGCGGGAGGUCUUGGGUUCAAUCCCCGGUUUAGUCAUAGCA
Potamilus streckersoni is the source of this 78-nucleotide non-coding RNA. The record is from the annotation of a GenBank genome assembly. Lineage: Eukaryota; Metazoa; Mollusca; Bivalvia; Unionida; Unionidae.